Molecule: ribosomal RNA, 496 nt
Filed under: uncultured bacterium
Lineage: Bacteria
Description: partial 16S ribosomal RNA
Rfam family: Bacterial small subunit ribosomal RNA
Source: RNAcentral
AUGAACGCUGGCGGCGUGCCUAAUACAUGCAAGUCGAGCGAACGGACGAGAAGCUUGCUUCUCUGAUGUUAGCGGCGGACGGGCGAGUAACACGUGGAUAACCCACCUAUAAGACUGGGAUAACUUCGGGAAACCGGAGCUAAUACCGGAUAAUAUUUUGAACCGCAUGGUUCAAAAGUGAAAGACGGUCUUGCUGUCACUUAUAGAUGGAUCCGCGCUGCAUUAGCUAGUUGGUAAGGUAACGGCUUACCAAGGCAACGAUGCAUAGCCGACCUGAGAGGGUGAUCGGCCACACUGGAACUGAGACACGGUCCAGACUCCUACGGGAGGCAGCAGUAGGGAAUCUUCCGCAAUGGGCGAAAGCCUGACGGAGCAACGCCGCGUGAGUGAUGAAGGUCUUCGGAUCGUAAAACUCUGUUAUUAGGGAAGAACAUAUGUGUAAGUAACUGUGCACAUCUUGACGGUACCUAAUCAGAAAGCCACGGCUAACUACGUG